GCGUGCUUAACACAUGACAAGUCGAACGGACCUAUCGGGUCAGUGGCGGACGGGUGAGUAACGCGUGAGAAUCUGCCCUCAUGGAGGGGGAUAACGGCUGGAAACGGCCGCUAAUACCCCAUAUGCCGCGAGGUGAAAUGAAUUUCGCCUGAGGAUGAGCUCGCGUCUGAUUAGCUAGUUGGUGGGGUAAAGGCCUACCAAGGCGACGAUCAGUAGCUGGUCUGAGUAGGAUGAUCAGCCACAACUGGGACUGAGACACGGCCCAGACUCCUACGGGAGGCUGCAGUGGGGAAUGUUCCGCGC
Molecule: ribosomal RNA, 303 nt
Filed under: uncultured bacterium
Lineage: Bacteria
Description: bacterial SSU rRNA
Rfam family: Bacterial small subunit ribosomal RNA
Source: RNAcentral